UACAAGAAACGAAGCAAUGGUUGGGGAUUCAUCACAGAGAUAAAUUUACAAUAUCAACGUGAUAGAAGAUCCUUUUGGAAAAAAUCAAAGCAAGUGAAUUGCAGAGCAGAUAACAUUCAAGAAGGAAGAAAAGGAAACCUUUCCUUUCUCACAGGUCCUGAUUGCAUUUUGGAAUGCAAGAUGCCUAUGCCUUCACCUGCCUUCAAACUAAUUGAGCUGCAGCUUAGACAACGGGGCUGUCAUUUAGCUGGAGCUGCGGGUGCAGAGUAG
This 270-nucleotide long non-coding RNA is filed under the name Dromaius novaehollandiae (emu). Its description in RNAcentral is "lncRNA (ENSDNVG00000010946.1)". The record is from RNAcentral. Lineage: Eukaryota; Metazoa; Chordata; Aves; Casuariiformes; Dromaiidae.